AUGUUCUACACUCUUCUGUUAAUGCUGACCACUGCAGCUUCCUAUGUUCAGUGUGAAAUCUCUCUCACUCAGCCGAGUUCAGUGAUGAUAAAGCCAGGAGGAUCUCUGAGCAUCAGCUGUAAAGUAUCUGGUUAUUCAGUUACUGAUGACAGCUACGCCACAGGAUGUUGGAGUCAAACUCUGAUACAGUCUGAAGCAGUGAUCAUUACACCUGGAGGAUCUCAUACUCUCACCUGUACAGCGUCUGGUAUAGACUUUGAUGGCAGCUGGAUGGGCUGGAUUAGACAGGCUGCUGGAAAAGGUUUAGAAUGGGUGGCAAACAUUAGAGGAGACAGUCAGUACAAGUAUUACUCUCAGACAGUUCAGGGAAGAUUCACCAUCUCCAGAGAUAACAGUAAGGAUCAGGUGUAUCUGCAGAUGAGCAGUAUGAAGACUGAAGACACAGCUGUGUAUUACUGCGCCCGAGAGACACAGUGA
Astyanax mexicanus (Mexican tetra) is the source of this 477-nucleotide non-coding RNA. NCBI's taxonomy places the organism in Eukaryota, Metazoa, Chordata, Actinopteri, Characiformes, Acestrorhamphidae. The record is from the annotation of a RefSeq genome assembly.